Long non-coding RNA from Cygnus olor (mute swan), 7159 nucleotides. RefSeq lists it as uncharacterized. Lineage: Eukaryota; Metazoa; Chordata; Aves; Anseriformes; Anatidae. The transcript has 2 exons. The record is from RefSeq and is a predicted model, not a curated record.
CCCCCCCCCCCCCCCCCCCAAAAAAAAAAGAAGAAAUUCUAGAGUAAAUAUUCCAUCAGCUGGUAAGCUAAUCACAGCCAUUUAGGGGAGCGCUAAUUAGUAACAUUUGCAGUUAACAUUGUUUGAGGAGGUAUAAAUUUCAUUUGUGGAGUUGCUGCUUGAUUUGGGGUGGAGAGGGGAGAAGAUCUGGAAGGCGUUAGACCCAGGAAAGGGACCGGCUUCCAAUGCCCCCUGGCUCUUCUGGAGCCCGGCCACUGCACCUAAAAAUGCCCCGAACUUUGUAGGGAGCGGUUUGUGAUCUCAGUGCUGAACAGAAAACAGAUGCUGUGCCGCUGGAUCUAUCACAUCAGCCCCGUCUCUGUGUUUUAGGGGUGGUAGGGUCGCUUUGAUGAGGACCCUGGGAGGUAAAAGCCUCCUGGAGACCCGGGGCAUUUAUUUCAGGCAGAAAUGUUUUCUGAAAGGCGCCCUGCGCUGGUGGAGCAGCGGGUGGUUACUUCUGAUAAGGAACCCGACGAGCUGAGGUUGCACCAUCCUCCUCUUGUAACUUGCCCCUCUUCCAGCCCCGUAUUCCUCUGCCCUUAGCAAAAGGGUCAGGGUUUCUCUUCUCACGUGCAGUUUUGUGGCUGGAGCACACCUCCUUCAGCACGCUCCUGGAUUUUCAGCUAGUUGUGAGUGCUCACAACCCCUUUAUUUUCAGCCUCGGUCAGCCGUACAGUUGCAUCUUUCCCUUCUCUGCUGCAAACCCCAAUUGCCCCCUCUGCCUUUGUCCUCCCAGGAGCAGCUCAGAGCAACUCCCUCAGCUGCAACUUCCUUCCCGAGAUGCCAAACCAGCACGUAGGACGAGGCAGCUCAUCUUUUGGUGUUGUGGAGGGGAAAGGAAUCAACAAGUUGCAACCACAUUUAUGGCGGUAGCCAAAAAUUCAGAGUAGCCUUUAAGGGCAUCGCUUGCUGUCAGAGAAGUCCUGGGUAGGUACGAGGGGAUUGCAGACAAAUUUGCUAUUGAGCCCCUGCAGGAAGUAAGUUAUCAGAUAGAUUUCCCAAUCAGAGCCUGUAAGUCCGAUAUCUCAGCGGUUUUUGUCUUAUACUCCACCCCAACACCAUUUUCAGCAGGGACGCAGCAUCCACCCUUGCCUGGUCCUUCCCUUCUUACCAUGGGGGACCAACACCGGGUGCCCUGGAACAGCAAUGGUCUCCGAAGUGAAAAUGGAUUUACCUGGAUGAGACACAGCAUAGCUGGGCUCUUUGUUACGGCAUUACUUCCCGUGGGACUUCAUAACCCAGUUUGUGAACACCUGGCCCAGCAUAAGAAGAGAACAUUUGGAUCUCCAAGAACUCUCACGCAGCAAAACUCCUUCUGCCAGCCCCUACGUGCACAGCACGUGAAAACCCCUCUGUUUCCCCCACUUUCCUUAACUCCAUACGAGGCUGGAGCCCCUGUGCUUUGGUCCUUUUAGAGGAGCUGGUUUGAAAGCUGGCGGGCAGGAUGGCUAUGAGCAAUGCAGUAUGUGCACGGCUGACCAAAAUUUAUCUCAUUCGUGGGGGCAAGCCAGCCCUCCUACACCAGCGCCGGUGCCAGAUCCCUCCCGUACAGCAUCCUGCUCUCCAGGUCUGCCAUCAGCCAGCGCUAACACUUCCUAUUACAUCCCCUGUGGCAGCUCUCAUCUUCUUGCAUCGCUCUCCUUGGAUGUCAGCGAUAUGCUUGGCAUGUUGUGCUCGUGUCGUGUUGGAGAAGAACCACUCGGCUGCCGCAGCCAUUUUGUCACUGAAUCGUACCGGAGCAGCCUCAGAGCUCCUCUCCAGCCAGCACUGCGUGUUUAGCAAAAGGAGAGCAAACCCCUGCCUCUGCAUCACUGCUUCACUGUUAACCCAUGUUAGAUUUGGUCAAAAUUUGCUAAGGUUUUAGAGAUUUUAACACAGCCGUGUAACAAGCUCUCUGUCUUGAAUUUUGAAAAGAUAAAUUAAAAGUCAAAGUCCUUAUCUGUUUAACGCCACGGGUGAUUUGCCUUUGCAUUCCAGGCUUGUAAAAUAUUCCAACUGCAUUUUCCCUCGUGUUUCUGUACAACCAUGAGGUCUAGGAGUGUACUGACAUGAUGUAACACAGAAAAAGGAGAGCUGAGAUUCCUCGGUGAUAGCAGGAAUCCGGGACCUGGGGACUUGAGGAAAGCGUCAAAUUGCCUGAACCCUUAAAACAUAAGAGCUGUCUUCAGUGAUCUCAGACCUGAAAACUCUAAAGCCAACAGAAAAACAAAGCAAGUUCGGCACUCAACAGGUUUCUUACAGAUUUAGCACGGGGGAUGAUCUCACUCUAGGCAUCACAUCCAGAAGAGGCCAAGCCUUGCCUGCAGAGCAGCCUGUCCUACCUAACCAGGCACGAGCGGCAACUGAGGGCUUUUCUAGACUUGGGGCAUUCAGAACACCUUAGCCUUGUGUGGAUUCUCUGGUGUCUAGCAAGGGUAGGGCUCCAGCAGAGCCUUUCCCUCCCUAGGAAUGGUAAAAGGGUCUCCUCGUUUUCUAGACAGGGAGAAAGUUGGUAUCAGCUACUCGGAGAUAACAUGCCAUCGCCUGACUCCUUCCUGAGGCCAUUUGGAGCCUCCGCCCUCCCACACAAUGGGGUUUAUCUCAGAGGUUGUUCCUGCCCCUCCCUCUGUCUACACCUUCAGGUAUCCCAUUAGGGAGGCUUUGAUACCCGAACCCAGUAGGAAAGCAUCCAGGUCGCUCAACCUCCACGCUUGCAGCGAGCCAAGCACAACCUCAGCGCCGUGCCCAGAUCCAAGGCAGCGUGUGUCCUGCCUGCCUGGAGGCAUUCGCUUUCCCCAAAGUGCAAAGCUCUGGAGAAAACCAUUGUUUGUUCUUCUGCAUGCACCUGAAAUGGUGCGAUUUCCUUUACGUGCCAGCAAACCUUCCCCCUGUCCUCGUUCACUGCUAGCUUCCUAGAAUACGAGAGGAUAAUAUUCUCCGCAGGAUUUGCCCCCUGCUUCUCUUCCCCUGCAUAAAACGGGUAUAAUAACACCCUACCUUACAGGGCUUUCUGAAGGCUUCAAUUAAACAAACUGCUCUUAGAUUUGUGUAAGAGGAAAAUUAAAUCAACAUCCUAUUGUAAAGCUGGAGGUACUGCAUGCAUAUUUCUCUGAGUAUAUUCAGACUGUGUGAACGUGUGUAAAUACAUACCAACCUUCACAACAAGGGUUGUCUCAGUAGGGAAGAAGUCACUUGAAGUUAAGGAAAAGCUAGAUUUAGUUUUGCAUGCAACCUUGAUCGACCCUUGGCAUAGAAUAUGGAAAAAACACACAGCUGUGUAAUUAAAGGCUGCAGCGCGUCUGUCUGUCUAGGUGGUGCCUGGUGUAUCUGCUGCCCUGGUGGGGGGCACCCAGCACAGUGCCUUGCGCUAGGUCCCGUGGAUAAAAUAGUGGUCUGGGGGGGAGAUCAGUCAAAUUUUCCUUCCAGAUGAAGAAAGCCACAUCCAGUGCCCCCUGGAGGAGGGUGAUGGGGUACCUCUCCACUUCCAGCGGUACGGCAGAUCCCCUGGUGUGCCCCUUGCACACCCCCAUAGUGUGAGCCUGGCCUCCAUGACCUGGGACUGGACUGCAAGCAGCAACUUUCCAUUUCACAUGAACUGAAAGAAAGUUUUACAGGAUGAAGGACCGGCCCUAAUCCCCACAAAACUCCCCAGACCCCAAAUAAAAUGAAAACACGAGAGCUACAAGAGUCCUUUGGACUACAAGGCAUUAAAAAAACCUGAAUGCAGCAGCCAUGCCAGCUCUCCUCUCCACCCCAAAAUCAAGCUGCUGUUCACCCUGGAAGACUCCAGGUUGCUUACUGCAUACAAGGGAGCUUGGUUGAGAGCAGCAGGGUCCAAAUCUCACUUGGAUGAUCUUCCUUCCCAGAAGCAGCCACGGACCAACAGGCUGGCAGCUCCAGGCUGGUGCCGACACAUUAGUGCUUUCUAGCGAACUCUGCCAUCAAUGCCUUCCAGCCACAACCAGUUCCCGCUCAUCCAACUGUUGUCACACGUGAGUGGGGCUCAAAGACCGUAUUUCCAGAGUAAAAACCUCUGGUGUGACACCCCCAGUUAUACCACUGCACCUUUGGGCAGGAGGCAGAAGCAGAGGCACACACAGCCGACCUCUUGCUUCUCCCUGCGUGUGCUCCAGCUUGCGCGCUCCGUAACAGAGGUCGCUGUAUCCCAUUUAGCUCGAAUUAGCCCUCGCUGUUGCCCACACAGGUAAUUUCCUCCAGUGUCCCACUUUCUCUGCAAUACAAGCUCCCAUUCAGCAAGGCAUUUAAGCACAGGAACUUACUGCCUUCAGCAAGAGUCGAGCACAAACUCCAGAGCUUUGCUGAUUAAGCACAGAGUUGACAAUUCCUUUUCCUCUCGAGCACCUCACUUCACAGGAGACUCCUCCAAAAAAAAAAAAAAAAAUAAUCCUCCCUCCUCCUUGCAUUUCUAAUAAUUUCUAUCAUGCCCUGGAAGCAUAUGUGACAACACUGCUAGGGUGAGAGUCCUACAGACAGCUGAGCAGAAAGCUGCGUGCCAAGCACACACCCGUCUGGGGGGAAGGAAGAACUACGAUGGCAGAAGUGAUCCUGGGCAUUCGACACAUUCUCCCAAUUCCUGAUCAUGCAUCUUCUCUUCUGGAGUGAUUUUUCCCUAACAUGGCACCAAACCCAAAGGGGUUGUCCCGUUGACUGAUGAGAACGAAGAGACCUCCUCUUGUCCCUGCACGGCUCAGUUUCCCUGCAUCUGUCUUUACAGAGAGGGAGGGAUGCUCCCCAGCUCCCUCAGUAAGGUGGUCCUUGCUGCCUUGUCAACACUUCUAGGCACUAAAACCUGUGCACCUUUCAUUUGUGCUCAGGAAAAACAGUUGAGUUCAGUUUGGGUCUGUGAUUCCUGUAGGGAAUCCAGCUGGGAACCCGCCAGGGGCUCAUCCCAGUGCUUAAAGACAAAGGAAGCUCUUUCAGCUUUGGCUACAAUGCAACACCGAGAGCCGCAGGCACCCGUACACGGAGGUUACUUCUGCUCACACCUCUUAUUGAAAAUAAUCAGGUUUCAUUUAUCCUGGAGCUCUACAAGUAACUACACAACUAGAAAUGGUGGUGACAUACCCUGAGAAGGUGGAGCCAAAGCGUUUGGGAGAGAAGACAAUUGUCUGGUCUCAGAAGCAUUUGAUGAUUACUGUUGUAACCAGAAAAAUCACUAAGGAUGAUUGCUGCUUGCCACAUUCCUGUGCUGCCAGGAAGAUCCUGAAAAAGCUCCAAUUUCCACUGGAAUUUACAGUUCAUUUAUUUUUGAAGUGAAGACAUCAGAAGCACUCCUCAGCUUUCUCUUCUCUUUAUGUCCCGUUCCCCUCCUGCUUCCCAGGUUCCAAAGCUUAUCUGUGAAAUCCAGAUGCUGUGAGAGGAAAUACGUACCUAGGGAAGCAAAGGGUCCCUUGCCAGUCACUGGGACCCUCAGCAUCAUGGCUGGAUUGAAACUGAGAGCCUUUCUGAAGGAUUGGUCCAGGCUCAGCCCAAGUCACGGGCUUGAUGCCAUAAUCCCUCCAUGAAAGGGUUAUGCAAAGGGUCAGAAUAGGUGAUGAUAAAAUUCCCUUCCAGCCAAAACAAUCUCCGAACCUCCAAGGAAAUCCACCAUCCUCUGGCAAGAGCCAGGACCAGACUUUCUGAAGUGCAACAAUGUCUGGCUCCAGCACCACGGGGACAGCGCCUCUGAAGGGCCAUGAAACCAUCUCUGCUGCUUGGGAGGUUCGACGAGCUGCGUUGGCACGGCCUGCCAGCUGCAGACCACAAGACUGGAGCGCUGGGAACGAAACCAGAGCAGAUACGCUCGGAACGGCUUUAAAGUGAAUGUUACAGUGCUAAAAAAGAAGUAGUGAAAUGUAACGAAAGCGAAUUCAGAGAUCUUUGCACAUUCUAGAAAGGCGUUGUGCAACCCAGCCCGCUUGGCAGGCCCGCGGUGGGAAUGGCAGGAGCUGCUGCAAGUUAGGGCCCAGGUACCUGAGCAGAGCUGUGUGGGAGGCAAGGUCCGCAGUUGCAGGAGCGCAGCAGCUUCAGAGAGAGCGGGAGCUGACAGAGAUUAACGAAGGGAGCUCAGGCAGUAUCUGUCUGUAGGAGGCCUGGCUCGGUCCAAGGCCAUUAACUUGUUGCUCUCUGAGCACCACCAACAGGACUGGAAAACAAAAACACGUCUCCUCAGCGUGGUUCACGUCCAGCGACUGCUUCAAGACUGCAGCAGAACGAGGAGCACUGAGAAAGGCACAGAGCCACUGCGAUGGCUGCAGGCUCGCAGGGCUGCAAGUUUUUGCAUGAAGCCCAAGUCAAAACCAGGCAGACAACUGGGACGGAGCCUUCAAAGUAGAAACAAAUAAAUUACUAGUCUUCAUUUUCUCCCAUUCGGGAGUUUGAACUUAAAGAAGAGUCCAUCAGCUUUAAAUAAAUCAUGUUUAUAAUUAAAAACACAUUUUCUUGUGCUGCUUACAAGCCCUUGGAUGAUUAAUAAGGCAUUUUUCGAAUUACUUUAAUUCACACUAAUUACGCUGCUUGCUUACCCAGUCAAUAGUUCUCCUUCCACGGAGAUAAAGCUAUCCCAGGAGGAGGUCUCCCUUCAGGGACCAGGAGGGAAAAGACCCCAGAGAACUGCCUAAGGCACCAGCAACAUACGGGAGGUCUUUCACAGAAAGCUACAGAGCUGGUUACAUGAGUCACGUCGUGUUCAACGCUCACAGGACUGCUUUUGCUAAGCCUGACUCUUUGCUGGAUAAGAUGAGGUUGCUCAGUUCCUGGGGGCCUUGAGCAGAGGUACCAACCUCGCAGGGGGGCAGACUUUGCAGGCCUGGCAUGGAAACACAAGGGGCUAUGCACCUUCUGGGUUGGGUCAGGCCUGUGCCCAGCAGAGCUAAAUAUAUUAGGAGCAAGCGGGAGAGAUGGAAGGAGAACGUAAGACCCUCGUGAACAUUUUCUUUCUUCCCCUGCCUUCAGCAUUACAGUUUCCCUCAGCAUUUCAAGCCCACAGGCUGACUGGCAGGAUUUGGAGCCAAGGAACACAUGUUCCUCCAAGUGCUGGUGCAUCCGUGUUUUGCCCCCUGCACCCUAGUGAAGAUGCAUCAAGGGCAGGUCAGUAGCAGGGUAUGACUUUUGAGCUGCCUUGACAAAAAAGGACAGGAAG